AGAGUUUGAUCCUGGCUCAGGAUGAACGCUAGCGGGAGGCCUAACACAUGCAAGUCGAACGGGAUCCCCGAGCAAUCGGGGUGAGAGUGGCGCACGGGUGAGUAACGCGUAUGCAACCUACCUUUAACUGAGGGAUAGCCCAUAGAAAUGUGGAUUAAUACCUCAUAGUUCUUUUGUUCCGCAUGGGAUGAAAGAUAAAGCUCCGGCGGUUAAAGAUGGGCAUGCGUGACAUUAGCUAGUUGGUGAGGUAACGGCUCACCAAGGCUACGAUGUCUAGGGGUUCUGAGAGGAUGAUCCCCCACACUGGUACUGAGACACGGACCAGACUCCUACGGGAGGCAGCAGUGAGGAAUAUUGGUCAAUGGGCGCAAGCCUGAACCAGCCAUCCCGCGUGCAGGAUGACGGCCCUAUGGGUUGUAAACUGCUUUUAUACACCAAGAAAAACUCCCACGUGUGGGAGCCCGACGGUAGUGUAUGAAUAAGCAUCGGCUAACUCCGUGCCAGCAGCCGCGGUAAUACGGAGGAUGCAAGCGUUAUCCGGAUUCAUUGGGUUUAAAGGGUGCGUAGGCGGCUUUUUAAGUCAGUGGUGAAAUCCUGUCGCUUAACGAUAGAAUUGCCAUUGAUACUGAGAAGCUUGAGUACAGUUGAGGUAAGCGGAAUGUGUAGUGUAGCGGUGAAAUGCUUAGAUAUUACACAGAACACCGAUUGCGAAGGCAGCUUACUAAACUGUUACUGACGCUGAUGCACGAAAGCGUGGGGAGCGAACAGGAUUAGAUACCCUGGUAGUCC
Molecule: ribosomal RNA, 789 nt
Filed under: uncultured bacterium
Lineage: Bacteria
Description: bacterial SSU rRNA
Rfam family: Bacterial small subunit ribosomal RNA
Source: RNAcentral